CAGCUCCAGUAGCGUAUAUUAAAGUUGUUGCAGUUAAAAAGCUCGUAGUUGAAGCUCUGCGGGGCGGGUCGCUGGGCCUCGGUCUGGUGACCUUCCUCGCAUCCAUCUGAGCAACGGCUCCGGCAUUAACUUGUCGCUGUCGUGAUCAGGUA
This 152-nucleotide ribosomal RNA is filed under the name Blepharisma stoltei. The record is from RNAcentral. Lineage: Eukaryota; Ciliophora; Heterotrichea; Heterotrichida; Blepharismidae.